This 89-nucleotide small RNA is filed under the name Marmota monax (woodchuck). The record is from RNAcentral. Lineage: Eukaryota; Metazoa; Chordata; Mammalia; Rodentia; Sciuridae.
CAGAGGAGAGGGAGGAGGUCCAGAGCCACUCACACUCUUCUCCCUCCCUCCCUCCCUGUCUCUCUCUCUCUCUUUCUCUCUCUCUCUCU